RNAcentral lists this ribosomal RNA (500 nucleotides) under uncultured bacterium. RNAcentral's name for it is "partial 16S ribosomal RNA". It matches the Rfam family "Bacterial small subunit ribosomal RNA", at positions 30 to 523 of the family's 1533-position model. The record is from RNAcentral.
AUUGAACGCUGGCGGCAGGCCUAACACAUGCAAGUCGAGCGGCAGCGGGACCUUCGGGUUGCCGGCGAGCGGCGGACGGGUGAGUAAUGCCUAGGAAUCUGCCUGUUAGUGGGGGAUAACGCGGGGAAACUCGCGCUAAUACCGCAUACGUCCUACGGGAGGAAGCGGGGGCUCUUCGGACCUCGCGCUAACAGAUGAGCCUAGGUCGGAUUGGCUAGUUGGUGGGGUAAUGGCCCACCAAGGCGACGAUCCGUAACUGGUCUGAGAGGGUGAUCAGUCACACUGGAACUGAGACACGGUCCAGACUCCUCCUGGAGGCAGCAGUGGGGAAUAUUGGACAAUGGGCGAAAGCCUGAUCCAGCCAUGCCGCGUGUGUGAAGAAGGUCUUCGGAUUGUAAAGCACUUUAAGUCGGGAGGAAGGGCUGUAGGCUAAUACCUUGCAGUUUUGACGUUACCGACAGAAUAAGCACCGGCUAACUUCGUGCCAGCCGCCGCCGUAA